This 62-nucleotide transfer RNA is filed under the name Pomphorhynchus laevis. RNAcentral describes it as "tRNA-Ala". The record is from RNAcentral. Lineage: Eukaryota; Metazoa; Acanthocephala; Palaeacanthocephala; Echinorhynchida; Pomphorhynchidae.
UAGGUUAAUUAAACUUCACGAAUUGCUAUUGUGAGAUAGGUGGUUGAAUAGCAAGUAUGUGA